RNAcentral lists this ribosomal RNA (253 nucleotides) under uncultured bacterium. RNAcentral's name for it is "partial 16S ribosomal RNA". It matches the Rfam family "Bacterial small subunit ribosomal RNA", at positions 524 to 776 of the family's 1533-position model. The record is from RNAcentral.
UACAGGGGGGGCAAGCGUUGUCCGGAAUCAUUGGGCGUAAAGAGCGUGUAGGCGGCUUGGUAAGUCCGCUGUGAAAGUCCAGGGCUCAACCCUGGAAUGCCGGUGGAAACUGUCAAGCUUGAGUCCGGAAGAGGCGAGUGGAAUUCCUGGUGUAGCGGUGAAAUGCGCAGAUAUCAGGAGGAACACCAAUGGCGAAGGCAGCUCGCUGGGACGGUACUGACGCUGAGACGCGAAAGCGUGGGGAGCAAACAGG